UUGGGUAAGGAACGCUGCGACAGGGAUCCCCUGCUAGGCUUAUUCAAGGUUUAAAUUUCAACGGCGUUCAUUAUUA
This 76-nucleotide non-coding RNA is filed under the name Cycloclasticus sp. symbiont of Poecilosclerida sp. M. RNAcentral's name for it is "SAH (S-adenosyl-L-homocysteine) riboswitch aptamer". It matches the Rfam family "SAH (S-adenosyl-L-homocysteine) riboswitch aptamer". The record is from Rfam by way of RNAcentral. Lineage: Bacteria; Pseudomonadati; Pseudomonadota; Gammaproteobacteria; Thiotrichales; Piscirickettsiaceae. RNAcentral also lists the same sequence under 1 other name.